AUGAUGCGGGAAAUGAAUCAGAAACUGCUCCCUUCCUGUGUGAAUGAAAAAUGGCCGGCGAUUUUACCAACAACUCGAUUUUGUGUCCAAAUGUUUUGAUGUUAUCUACCAGACAUUGCGAUUGUGAUGUAUUUGUAUCACGCGAAUUGGCGUUUACUUGUACAUAGUAAAAUCAUCGCUGCCGACGCCAUGCACCAUAUUGAUAUUGUAAACAUCAGCUUAUAAAGCGACUAUUUUGACAAUGUAUUGUGAAGCCAUACCUCACCAAUGUCGAACCGGACGCUAACAUUAGAGUGUGCACUUGUUCAAACUAUGGGGAAUGGAGAGAGCACACAUAACUACAGAGGACCAGAUUUUAGAACCCCAGCCAUGUCUAUCCGACUCCCAAUGCCCGACUCACAUGAGCUCGAGCGCAGAUUCACAAAAGUCCUGGCCUCCAUGGACCUGCCACCGGACAAAGCUAAAGUACUCAAGAAUUAUGACGAUGAAAAGAAAUGGGACUUGAUUUGUGACCAGGAAAGAGUCCAUGCGAAGGAUCCGCCCCAUGUCUACCUGGACCGACUGCGGACCUACCUGGACCCGCGUUCCAGUCGUAGUUCUCGGCGCGGAGCGGCCUGUGUAUUCUUACCUGUGGUUGUCCUUCCUCUACAGUGUGGUAUAAUAGAUAGUAAGAGGAAGAUGAUGGGAGACAAUACGUCCACACAGGUACUGCGGGACCUGGAGAUAUCACUGCGCACCAACCACAUCGAAUGGGUGCGAGAGUUUCUCAAUGAAGACAACCAAGGUUUGGAUGUACUGGUAGAUUAUCUGUCCUUCACACAGGUCAUGAUGAGGAGGGAACAGCUGAUGACCAAGGAGAAGAGUGCCAGUCUGGAUGGCCUCUCCAAGAGUCCUGUUCGUCGACUCAAGCGGUCCAACACUAUUGGCUCUCCUCGGGGGAUGUUAAAGUCGUCCAAACUGAACAUGGGUGAGGCUCGCGAUGACGUCCACGUGUGUAUCAUGUGUCUACGCGCCAUCAUGAACCAUCAGUAUGGAUUCAACCUGGUGAUUGCCCAUAAACAUGCCAUCAACUGUAUAGCACUAAGUCUAAAUCACCGAAGUCUCAGGACGAAGGCGCUGGUUUUAGAGCUACUAGCAGCAGUAUGUCUGGUGAGCGGGGGACAUGAGAUCAUAUUGUCAGCAUUUGACAAUUUUAAGGAGGUGUGCGGAGAGAGACACAGAUUUGAAACACUCAUGGAUUAUUUCAGGAAUUUUGAAGAGUUUCACAUUGAUUUUAUGGUGGCUUGUAUGCAGUUUGUAAAUAUUGUGGUUCAUUCGGUCGAGAACAUGAACUUUCGUGUCCACCUGCAGUACGAGUUCACGCAGAUUGGUCUGGAUGACUAUCUCAUGAAACUUCGACACACUGAGAGUGACCGGCUGUCGGUGCAAGUGCAUGCCUACCUGGACAAUAUGAUAGAUGUUCAACAGCUGCUGGAGGAUUCGGAGACCAAGACUGAGGCUCUGGAACGUGCCGAGGAACUAGAGGACGAACUUUCACAUGCACAUGAAAGACUUCAGGAAGUAGAAGAUGAAGCCAUGUCCAAAACAGUGGAACUGGAGAAACAGUUAUCAGAUUCAAAUCAAGAUAUUGAAGAGUUGCGAGAUUAUUUAUCAAAACAGGAGAUAGAAAUGAACUCUUUACGACAAGUUGUUAAUGAAAAGGACGAGGAGUCGAGGAAGAGGCAAAGUAUACUAGAGGCUAAACUCCAGGAAAUUGAGCAAAUUAAACAGACUCUUCCGUCAGGUGUAGGAGCUGCUGCUGCCAGUGCCAGUGUGCCCAUGGCCAAUUUCCCCCCUCCCCCAGCCCCUGCUGCACCCAUGCCNCCAGCACCUCCAGCCCCAGGGCGAGGACCACCAGCUCCCCCACCCCCACCUGGACCUACUUCUGGACCAACUAUGUCAGCAAUGACAAUAAAAAAGAAAAUCCAAACCAAAUACCGUUUGCCAAUCCUCAACUGGACGCCCCUCAAACCUCAGCAAGUCAAAGGCACAGUUUUCGCAGACCUGGAUGAUGAAAAGCUUUACCAUGUGAUAGAUUUUAAUGAGUUUGAGGAGAUGUUCCGCCUGAGUACAGGACCAUUGAGAGGCGACGAUGAUAGCACACCAAAGUUACUCAAGAAACUACGCAAACCUGAGAGCGUCAGUCUGUUAGAACCAAACAGACUACGCAAUGUGGCCAUCACGAGGAGGAAGAUAGAAAUGACGAACGAAGAGGUGAUGAAAUCAAUCAAUAGCCUUGACCUGAAACGACUGUCUCUGGACAUGGUGGACAUCCUACUGACCAUUAUGCCCAAUGACCAAGAGGUCAAAGCAUACAAACAAUACGAGAGAGAUCGCAAACCUAAGGAGCGCCUCACAGACGAGGACAGGUUCAUGUGUAUGUUCUGUAAAGUAGAAAGGCUGUCACAGAAGCUGAACAUCAUGAGUUUCAUUGGUAACUUCCAGGACAGUAUACACCACCUCACACCUCAAGUACAUGCUGUGAUAGCAGCCUCCAUGUCUUUAAGGAAUUCACAGAAAGUCAAGAAAAUGUUGGAGGUGAUUCUGGCGAUUGGUAACUACAUGAAUAGUUCUAAGAGGGGAGCAGUGUACGGCUUCAAACUCCAGAGCCUGGACAUGCUAAUGGAUACAAAGUCAGCGGACAAGAAGACCACACUUGUCCACUACCUGGCUCAAACAGUCAAUGAAAAGUUCAUGGACAUCGUAAACUUUGAAUCAGAGCUGCGCUUCUUGGAGAAAGCUGCUGUUGUAUCACUGGAGAAUAUUCUCACCGACGUGCAUGAUUUGGAAAAGGGGAUGGAAUCUACCAAGCGUGAAUUCGAUGCACGGAAACAUGCCCGAGACCAACCACCUAUUCUAAAAGAUUUCUUACAAAACUCGGAAGAAAAGCUUAAAAAAUUGCAGGGUGAUGUUAAAACCGCUCAGGAUUCAUACAAGAGAGUGGUGGAGUUUUUCGGAGAGAACCCUCGUACGGUGUCCCCACAAACUUUCUUCUCACAGUUUGUAAGAUUUGUCGGUGCUUUCAAGCAAGCAAUGACUGACCUCGAAAAGAAGCGAAGGAUGGAGUCUGCUGCCAUGGAGGAGGUCAUGCCCAGUUCCCAAGGACGCAAGAACAAGAAAGUCACAGCGGAGGCUGUGGUGUCUGAACUGAAGACAAGAAACAAACAGAUCAAGGAGAAGAAGCUGUUGGGCAAGGAUGAGGUUUACCACGGGGCUCUCGAGGACAUCCUACUGGAUCUGAAGAAUGAGCCAUAUCGCCGUGCAGAUGGUGUGAGGAGAAGUCAGCGACGUCGUGUUGAAGAGGCACUAGCACCUACUUACACCCACAACGAACAUUUCUAGUUAUCUUUCGGGCCACAUUCACAUCCAAACAUGAGUAGUUCUCUAGCUAGUACUGAGACAUCCUUGUGUAUGUCAGUUUGUGCAGUGGGUGUUUCCACACUGCUGAACCAACCGCAUGUUAGCCUUGUGGAAACAAACUAUCGCAAUAUGGGAGGCUAACCUAGAAGAUGAAACAGGUUUAAGUAACGUUGAGCGAUUGCCUCACAUGAAGUUUCUGUUUCUAGGCCUACGGUUCACAUUACAGAUAUAUUUGAUGUUGAAAUGCAUCUUAAAAAGUUGCAUUGCCAACAUGGACUCAUAUGUUCACACAUAUAAAUCUCAUUUUACUAUACAUUCACACAUACAAACCUCAUGUGCACAGAAUUAUUCUGACAUUACUUUUAGUCAGGCCAUGAAUGAAUGGCUUCUGAUUGGCUGAUAAGGACUAAUAGAAAAGGAGCUAGCUUCUGGUGGUUGGUUGCUGUCAUAUGAUUGAAAGAACUAACUUCGCUGCUGAUUCAAUGAAAGGAGCUUGCCGCUGAUUGGUUGCUGUUAUAUAUGCAGAUAUGAUGGGAGGGACUAAAUUUUAAUAGUUUUCUUCCAUCUAGAAAUGUCACAGACACUUUAUAUAAUAUAUAGAUAUUUCUAGUCGCCAUUCAUUGAUAAACAGGCUUUUUUUCUGUUGUGUAUCUGUUGUAGAAUUAACAUAUGUGUUGUCCAAUUUUAAAUUGUGAGAAAAUGUUGCAUCCUAUAUUUUUUAAAUGAAUGUUUGAAAAAUCAGGUUUUAUUUUAAUAUCAGAAAUUGAUAUAUUUGCAAGGUUGGCUGUAUUUGGGUUGUGUAGACAACUAGGCUGUACCCAUCACACAAUUGUCAUGUACUGACACACUAAUGUCCAAGUGUAGUCUGCAAUAAGUAUUAGAGUCUAACAAAAUGUCUGUUAAAUCCAGAGUACUUCUGUAUUAGUCAGAAAUUUUGAAACUCUGAUAGCUGUAGAAAGAAAUUCAACUAUGGUUUCUGCAGCUAAACCUUUGCAUGCUGAUAGAAGUGUCCCUAAAAUGGAAAGUCUUUUAAUAGAUCUCAACUAGAGUUAUUUAAUGAUUUUUAUUUACAUUGUAUUGUAAACAAACAACAGUUUGGAAGUAACCUUCAGCUAAAGCUUGUUUGUUUUAUAUUAAACAGUUGUACAAAUUUGAUCAGAAAAUGAAUUUAAAACCAAGAUAAAGCGUUAUUUUGAUAUAAAACCCCAACUUUUCUUUGUAGUGAAACAUAAAGCAAGAAUUCAGACUUCACUAAAAAAAAUAAGUUUUGAGUAAAAGAUAAAUUACAGUUUUCUUUUUCGUAAAUGAAACAAAAAAAACAAUAACAAACCACACAGCCAGAAGAGUAAACAUGAGUCACCUGCAUUUAGAAAAAUAUAUUCUAAUUUAGAUAUUGCAACCUGAUGUUGCACUGUCUUGCUUUAAAUGUAGCGCAUGUGUACUGCAGCUUGCCAUAAGUUAAUGAUCAUUAUUCCGCUAAUUUAUGUUAUAUGUAUUCAUGUUAUCAUUUACACUUUAUUAGUCAUCACAAAGAUUUAUGUCUAUCAAUUAUUGCUUUUCAGCCAUACAAAUACGAACAUUUUAUAACUUAUCUAUGUCUUGCUUGAGGAACAAAUGGCCAGUUGUCAAAAAGUCAUUUGAUAUAUAUCCAUGUAUAUGUAUAAUUGAAACAAUUAUACCAUUUAACAACCCAUUUGGAAGUAUUGGUCGGAGGUGGGAUCUCGGUGGCUUGGCACUUAAAAUUAAAUUAAGAUUAUUUCAGUAAAUACUGGAAUAGUGGAAAUUAUUGUGAUAUUGAAAUGUUCCUCGACUCCCAUUUGAGGAAAAUUUGUGUAAAAAUAGGCACACAUGAGUAUAUAGAUUUAUCGUACAUCUUUAGAAAUAUAUUAAUAAUGUCCAUGGCCUGCUGGAUACCCAACCUACUCGGUAGUGAAGCAGACAUAAAACCAUGUGAUUGGUACAAUGAAAAUAUAUAAACAAACUGGAUGACGUUCUGAAAUUGUGAACUAUUAACUAUGACAUCAUAAUAAAAAUCAGUUGCCUGGCCAUGGAUGAGAUUUAGCGUGAUGGAAAGACCUUCAACUGAGACUUAAAAUAAUAGUAUAUAUGGAUUUCAGAACCACUAACAAUGUGAGAACUUCCGUAUUGCCAUCAGUGUGAAGAGCCGCUACACAAAUAUUUCUACAUGCUAGACUUUCUACUUCUACUGUAUGUGAAGGUGUUGACAUAGGGUGGAUGGGAGAUGUUGUUUUGUAUGGGACACGCUGUGAUAUAUACACAUGAUGACUAUAGAUACAUGUAUUUCAACAUUGAUUUGUAAUUAGAAAGUAGUUUUUUCUUCCUGUUGUCGCAAAACUUAAUAGAAAGUUCAAAUUAACAAGUAAUUUGAACACUUGUUUUAUAUAAAAUCUUCUGCUGACGAGACCAAUGCAUUUGUGUUAACGCCAUGGUUGUUUAACCUUUGACCUGUUGGGUAUGGUGAGGUGCUGUUUUUGACCAGUGACGUGGUUUGUCUGAUGUGUUCAUGUCUAUAAAUACUCUUGUCAUCUAUCAUCCGAGCCUCACCCAUCAACCUCUCGUCUCCUUAGCAGUUAAAGAUACAUAGGUACAUAUAUACAACACACAAUUAAAUACUCCAUUUCUCAUGCUCAGUUUCUCAGAUCUUCUUUGCUUUGAAAUACAAAUUUAAGGUUUUUCCUACUUCAGUAGUUAAGGAACUAAACUUCUCCACAUAUUGUAUGCCGGGAAAUUUUUACCCAGUCAAAUAUUUGCCUUUCAGCAGUGGAAUCCAUCUUAUUCCAGUACUAACUCGGCCCUUCACAUGUUAUUUCUAUAUAUGAUAUCUGCUCUCAUGAUAAAUUUGCCGUCAAUACAGAAAGGCAAAAGUUCAAAUGCAGCAAAUGUUUUCAAGUACACAGUACUUUUCCAUUGUUUAGAAGAACUGAUUUAUAAAUAGGGAGAAGAGCCAAGGCCGUUCCAAUAUUAAGUAGGAUCCUUUUGUUGGGUGUUGGCUGGACUGAAUUUAGUUACAAAGAAUUUAAAAUUCAGAUGUACUGCUGUUUAUAAGGGGAAAUAAGACGUAUUAAUGAUUUGUAAUCUCAUGCCAUUAAAAUAAGUAUUUUUAACUGCGCAAUCUCUCAUAAAUGCUUGCCAAAGAUAACUUAAUUCGUCACAGUAGUAUAUGUUUUUUCCCCAUAAAGUUUUAGACUUCAUUUGUAAAAGUGUAUUUAUUAUUUGCAAUUAUCUGACAUAUUGGAAGAAAGGUCAUAAUAUGUUGUGUUCAAUAGGUGUUGUGGAUCAACCUUGGUGUGUGGUGGCCAGGAUACUUCCCAGUAGAGACAUGGUGGGUGGUGAUAUUAUUGGUGGCAUUUCCCCGUAGUUUAGAGGUGACUGUAAAUAGCACAUUGUUGUACAGUGUCCGCUGUGGUCCAACACUCACUAUCCUACUCAUUCCUGUUAUGUACUUUAAUACGGAGUUAACAUCUCUGUAUUGCAGAUAAUCUUCUAAUGACCUUAAUUAACAUUAGUCGUUUAUUAAAUAGGGACGGACCAGGUAUACUGAUGUUUCUAUAGGGACGCGCCAGGUAAACUGAUGUUUCUAUAGGGACGCACCAGGUAAACUGAUGUUUCUAUAGGGACGCACCAGGUAAACUGAUGUUUCUAUAGGGACGCACCAGGUAAACUGAUGUUUCUAUAGGGACGCACCAGGUAAACUGAUGUUUCUAUAGGGACGCACCAGGUAAACUGAUGUUUCUAUAGGGACGCACCAGGUAAACUGAUGUUUCUAUAGGGACGCACCAGGUAAACUGAUGUUUCUAUAGGGACGCACCAGGUAAACUGAUGUUUCUAUAGGGACGCACCAGGUAAACUGAUGUUUCUAUAGGGACGCACCAGGUAAACUGAUGUUUCUAUAGGGACGCACCAGGUAAACUGAUGUUUCUAGAGAGCCUUGACAAACACUUUCAAGAACUUCAUUAACAUUUGCAGGUAUGUCAGGCUUCGUUGCUGAAAUUGUACAUUUAAAAAAUUGGAGGAACCAGUUUAUCCACAUAAAUGAACAGGUCCCUGAUGCCAAUGACUCAAGAAAAAGGUUGAUAGAAUAUAACUUAGAGCCAAAUAUUGAAAGAACAUUAAUAUAUACAGUAUGUAAUGUAUCAGAGGAGGUGAUGCUAGACAUACACGUCUAUCUUGUAUACCAGUAUAAACUACAAGAAGCUUUACAGUCAUAGUUCACAUUUAAGUCCUAUAAAAUAGGAAGUUUUCAAACAAGAUUAUAGACAAGAACAUUUAUGUUCUAAACAUGAAAACAUAAAUUAAUAUAAAAAAAAAAAUCUUUCACAAAAUGAAACCUUUUCUUCCCAGCUAGUAAUAUCAUUAUUUAUAGCAUAAUAUAUUAUACUGAGGUUUCUUUUCUGAGACCUUUUUGCCCGUGUUUCUUUUAAGAAAUACCAAACCGUUCUUACAAGAACAAUUACCAAAACCAUCCCAACAUAAGUGGUUUGGUUAAAACUUGAUUAGUGCUUGUUUAGUUUUUAACAUUUUAGGGUAAGUCGGGCUAAAGUGAGAUUGAUACGUAAUAGUAUCACAUAGGGUGGGGGGCGUCGGUGUUGUCUUCAGGUCUUAAACUGUCUACGCAAGUUUGUCAAAGUCAAUCAGCAUUUAAAAGUCUUCCAGUUACUAGAUUGUCACUUCAGUAAAUAUUUCAUAUCAUACUUCAUAAAAUCUAAAAGGUCACCAAAUAUAUUUAGCUGCUGUUCCGUUCAAGACGGCCGUUCCCAAUAUCAACUUGUUGUCAUUAAUUGUGUAAGUUUAUAUCGCUGUAAAAUGCUACUAACACAGAUUUUAUUUUACAAAUUACUUUUCAUCAAUAAGGUUGAUAUUAAGUAAGCUUCCGUCAGUGAAGACACUUAUAGUUGUUAUGAAAUUGUUUUAUUAAUAAGAUUUUGGUGCAUUAUUAAUAUUUCUGUAACGUUUUGAACAUGCAUAGAAUACUUACCAUUAUUACUUCAAAUCACCUCUAACCUGUUAUAAGGGGUAAAUUUCUCUCAACACUUGAUAGAAAUACUUACCGCGUCAAGUUGAGUUGAGCCUUUUGGAGAGUAGAUAUCUGAUUUAAGUGGCACACGAACCAGGUAGCAAGAAUUGAUCGGUCUUUAGAAUUUGUUACUAAAGCUAAGUGGAAUCAUGUCUGUGAUGUCAUCAAGGGGGUCAAUGUCAUAAUCAUCAAAACACUAUCAUGUUAUUGAGAUUCAGUGUCUUCAAACAGAUAUUUUGUAAUCAUUAGCUGUAAUCGGAAAAGAAAAAAGACAACUCAUCAAGUUUGUAAAUUCAUUAAAUGUGUGAAUUGAUUUAAAAGUUAAAGAUUUUUGUUGAUAUUUUUACAUGGAUUGAUUGAUGAUGAGAAUCAAAGGUUGAGGAUUCCUGUUGAAAGAUGAGGCAAGUUUGUACUAGCCAUUAUGUAGAACAGGAAACAGGAUUAAUGCAAUGUGUUGUAUGCUUAAGGAGAUGCACAUUGUUACUGGGUAGGACCGGAAUCAAAACCCAAUUGUACAUUAAAGGAAUUUAAUAUUAUUGGUAGAAUUAUGAAAAUUAUUCAGACAUAACGUAAAUUCAUAGUGCUUUUGAUUACACAGUUUUGAUAUUAUCUAGGAGACAGGUUUGUUCUGUGUAUCAAUUUGUAGUAUGAUGAUGCAGCUUCUUCAGCAAGGAAUCCUGUUAUGCAAAGUUCGACUGUUUCGGUCAGAGAAAAGCAAUUAGAAACGUUUUGGACAGUAAAAUAUGAAUACAAUGAUGCUGAAAGUUAGUUCAGGUCAUUAGAAUGUGAUAGUAACCACUAGAAAAACCCCAGUAAAUAUUCCAUACAUAUUUACUAAAACGAAAUAUUUAAGUUUUGUGAUUGCUGAAUUAAAGAAAAUGUAAACUUGAAGGGUGAGGAGUGAAUGGUCUUUGUACUAUUUUGUGAUGCAUGGAAAAAUGCUACUUUUGUGACAUCAAAAUAUGUACAUUUUGAGGCCGUUUUGUGUGUGUGGUUGUGGUAAGGUUCAAGGUGUAGUGACAGCUACCAGAUACAGAAGUAUUGUCUAAUCUGAUAGUAUACAGUGUACAGUUACAAAACAGAUGGUUUUAUAUGUUUAACUAUUUGGAUGCAGAGUUACCGACAUUGUAAAAGGUAUGCUUGCUAUUUUCCACAAAUAAUGUGAUAUAAAUGAUAUCUAGCUUGACAGUUUUAACUCAUUCACCCCUGAAGACAUUUGAACUCUUUCAGUUCAAAGGUUGGAUUAGUUCAUUAUGAAAUUUCAGGGGUGAAUGAGUUAACCACACAAACAAAAUUGUCCAAAGACUGUUCCGACCUGGAACAUUUUAUUGGUCUGUAAAUCUAGAUUUCUCGUUACUCUACAAGGAGAAUGAGAAUCGUAUCCAUACUUCGGCACUUGUAAACAAUUGGCCUCAAAUUACGCAGAUAGGAGUAUUGAUAAGCACUUGGCCCAUGGGCUUAGUUUUCGCUGAUAAUGAAGUUAAUGAACAAAUAUUCAAUUCUAUGUAAUGGUAUCCACUGGUUUGAUAUGUUUGCCAAAAUAAUAUUUAUAUGAAUAUUGAUACAGAGUACUUGUUGCUAAACAGUAAAGCAUUUAGUCAUCAUAUACCUAUUUUUUACAUUCCUUUUCAUAGUAAAGAGAGUAUUAGAUUUUUUUUCUACUUUAUCAGAUUAAAAAAAAAGGCAUCACUUUACCAGCACUGAGAACAGUGCUAAAAUAUAUAUAUGUUGGACCAAUAAUAGGCCACGCUUAGGGAAGUGGUCUAAACAUUGAUCACUGCACCACUUCUCAUUGGGGGCAGCUGACUCGGCAACAGAGUCUGGCUUUUAUUACAAUCCAAGAUGUUUUUUUGUACAGAUUGCAAGACAACACAACAUCCAAUGUAUUUAAAGUAUUCAUACAUUUUACAAUGCAAUUUGUAAAAUAAAAUGAAAUAUCCUAUUA
RNAcentral lists this unclassified non-coding RNA (10379 nucleotides) under Mizuhopecten yessoensis (Yesso scallop). Its description in RNAcentral is "formin-like protein CG32138, transcript variant X4". Lineage: Eukaryota; Metazoa; Mollusca; Bivalvia; Pectinida; Pectinidae. The record is from RNAcentral.